UACGAAGGGUGCAAGCGUUAAUCGGAAUUACUGGGCGUAAAGCGUGCGCAGGCGGUUUUGUAAGACAGAGGUGAAAUCCCCGGGCUCAACCUGGGAACUGCCUUUGUGACUGCAAGGCUAGAGUACGGCAGAGGGGGGGUGGAAUUCCGCGUGUAGCAGUGAAAUGCGUAGAUAUGCGGAGGAACACCGAUGGCGAAGGCAACCCCCUGGGCCUGUACUGACGCUCAUGCACGAAAGCGUGGGGAGCAAACAGG
Molecule: ribosomal RNA, 254 nt
Filed under: uncultured Comamonadaceae bacterium
Lineage: Bacteria; Pseudomonadati; Pseudomonadota; Betaproteobacteria; Burkholderiales; Comamonadaceae
Description: partial 16S ribosomal RNA
Rfam family: Bacterial small subunit ribosomal RNA
Source: RNAcentral